This is a long non-coding RNA of Strongylocentrotus purpuratus (purple sea urchin), 304 nucleotides long. RefSeq lists it as uncharacterized. NCBI's taxonomy places the organism in Eukaryota, Metazoa, Echinodermata, Echinoidea, Camarodonta, Strongylocentrotidae. The record is from RefSeq and is a predicted model, not a curated record. The transcript is spliced from 3 exons.
AUCCAGUUCAAGGUACUGCAGAUUCUAAUGUGCUAAGUGGCCUUUUGAUGUGAUUUUCUUAGCAAAGUUUGAACACCGACAUUAAAACGGUUGCAAAGUAAAGAUCUGUGGUAUCUACAUGAACUGCAAACUCAUGGCAUCUGGACUUUCAUACCUAAGGUGUUUUCCAUCUCUUCAAGUUGAAAAGACUGCAGAGCUUGAAUCCCCUGCAACAUUAUGCUUCAUAUGGAACAUCAGCCAGCAUACAGAUACAAGCUCCCUUUUCCAGCUCUAAGCAAGAGGGACCACAAUGCUAUAAACAGAU